GCUCAUUUGCGAAAGCAGCAUUUAGCAAAGAGUUAAGAAUAGUAAAACAGUAGAUUAAUUAAUCCGAAAUUUUAAACAACACUGAACAGCACACCCAUGCUGUACAGGCCCAACCAUCCUGAACAACCAUACCCGGCUGAACAGAUCUAACUCCAAACCAGAAGCUAAGCAAAUUAUUACCAGUUAAUCAUCAAUAAUCAUUGUGAAAGGUGUGAGACUAAUCACGAAAAACAUUGCUCAACUCGCCCAUAACCGCGGGCACGGCUAUUCGAAUAGUUUUACUCUGGCCAGAGGUGUACCACUGUACCCACAAGACACGAUUCCACACAUGUUGCCAUGCCCCGAAAUACCACCACGGCAUUGCAAAGGGGGAAAUCGUGACAAUACCCUUUGCACAACACAACUCAAAACAGUGCACCGUUCCUGGAUCAUAAUCACCCCCUUAUAAACAAGGCAUGGACUCCCCAGCGACCCCCAUGGACUUCUCGCCACUUCUCAGUCUGGCGCACUAUAAUGAAUCAUGCUAUACAAAGGAUAAAGCCGUUGCCCACGCUGGCUUGUGGUUGGCACGAUAAAUGUUUCACAACAGUAGCUCGCGAACCGGUCCUUAAUUGCCAUGAGCACGACCUUCAAAACCAUGUGCUCACAACCCACCAUUAAUCAUAUUUUAAUUACCAAUUAAUUAUCAUAACACGAUUAACCAGCGUGAGCUACCAUUAAAUAUAACCAUAAAUAAUAAUGUGGUAUAUAUGAUUCAUCCCAUUAGUGAGCUAAUGUUUCUAAGCUUUGCUAAGCAAUUAUAUAUAUAACAUUUAGCUGAACCAAACCAAUACAUAAGGUUCAAGCUAAUCAAUUUAUUACCCAAGGUAUCAAGGAAUAGGAUAUUCAAUGCAAAUUGGCCAUAACAAAGGAAUUGGUUCACACCACCCGGUGACAUUCGAAAAUAAAUGCACAGUUGAAAUAAAUAGAGAAUUUAAAUAUAGGAUCAACAUGCUCAAAGGAUUGUGUUUAGGAUCUGUGUGACUUGCCUUGCAAUAAUCGGUCUUCAAUUAAUCUUCUUGAUCACUUCCGACGCACUCACGAACCUUCGCAACGACGGAAACGACAAGCUAACACGCAAAACGAAGAAAAAGACUAAUAAAAACCAAAUAAACAGUACAUAAAAAGUAAACAAACAUGUAAAUCAUAAUUUUAGAUGAAUUAUGAGACUUGAACGGCCUCAUUCUGACUUCACAUGAAUUUAUUAUGAAUUUUACAAGAUUAAAUCUAAUUAAAGCCCAUUUAAAAAGAAUUAAAUAAAUUUAAUUCAAUUUAUGGACAAUUUUAAUAUGUAGAUCUUUAUUUUAGAAAAAUUUAGCAACUUGAACCACCUGAAACGGAUCUACGGUUAUUUAGUUAUGAUUUUCCGAAGAUUUAAUCUAUUAGAAAAACGGGAAAAAGAAAAACCGAUGACGUCAGCAUGACGUCAUCCAUGGCAGCCACAGCACGGGUGGCGACCUCGCCGGAGCUAGGGUGGUCGGCCGGGAUUUUGGAGGACACCUACGCGAAGAGAACGACGAGACGAACCCGAUGGUACUCACCACAACGGCAAACAACGCACGACGACGGCCGGCGACGAGGAGGACGACGGCGGUGGCUCGGGUUGCGCGGCGACGGCGAGCUCCGGUGGUCGGCGACGAAGGAGAGGUGGCGGCCGAGCUUCCCCACACCACGGCGCACCUAAAGGCGACGGCGGCAAGCGGCUGCGACGGCGGAGGCGGCUGCGCGACGUCGCCGGAGUUCGGCCGGCGGCGGCGGCGGACUAAGCGGCGUCGACGGCGAGCUACGAGGCACGAGAGACCACGGGAGAGGGGGCAAACGAAAGAGGAGGACUAGGGGGUCCUAUUUAUAGCCUUGGAUUGAAGAGAUCGGACUCCAAACGAGAGGAAUCGAAGCCGGAAAAUCAAAAACUCGGUUUUAGAGAUAAACUCGAAAACGAGUUUGAUUCGGAUAAAAUACCCAACGAUUUGCUCCGAUUCUUGGGGGAAAAGAUAGAGGAGGAUGAGAGGAUCAAAACCCCUCAAAAAUCCGGAAGAAACGGGGUCGGAUUGGAGCGGAUUUGGAGGCGGAAAGGCGACGCGGCGCGCAGCUCGGGCUCUGUCCAGACUGCAGGCUGAAGGUUAGGGACGACACUGUAGCAGGGAGGCAAAACAGACUUCUCCUGAGCUUCCUUUUUUUCUUGCUUGGGCCGACUGAGAGAGAGGGAGAUAAAACAGACUUUGGAGAGAGAGAAGAGGGGAGGCCGGCUGCUGCAGCUGGGCCGAUUGGGCUGCGCGGGAGAGAGAGAGAGAUGUUGGGCCGGAAUCGGCCCAACGACUUAGGGAAGGAUUUAAAAACUUUUUCCAAUUAAAAUAAUCACUUAAAUGAUCUUUCAAUUGUUAAAAAUACUUCCAAUGCUCAAAUAAUUUGAAGAAAAAUCCUGAAAAUACUUGGACACUAAAAGUACUUAACAAAAUUAUAAUUAGACCAUUUAAUGAUUAAUUUAAUAUUUAAAUAAUUGCUGAACUGCUCUUUGUAUGAUUAAAAUUAGGAACUGAGCUCCGAAAAAUCCGAGAAAAUUCCAGAGAGUAUAAUUAACCAUGGAGAAUUUAAUAAAAAUUAAAUCCAUCCAUGCUUUAUAUUUAAGAAAUUUUAUUUCCCACAUUUAACUUCACUUGUAAAUUAGUGAACAUUUAAUAUAAAUUCUAAUAAUAAUUUAUUAAAUAAUUUAUAAGUCCUGAAACAAAAAUCAGGAUGUGACAAAUCUACCCCCCUUACAAAGAAUCUCGUCCCGAGAUUCGGAACGGCUAGAAAGAAAAAGGCAUAGGUAAACUGCAGUCUAUCUUAUUCCAUAACUCCGAUAAUUAUUCUAAGGCUUUAAAGAAAACUACUACUGCUUUGAAACUGGUGGCUGAGCUGUAACACUUGAAGACACAACCGGCACUGCAUUUGCUCCUGUGAGGACAAUGUUGUUGACUUGGCCUUGUGGCUGUUGACGCUUCGGCUUCGGACACUCUUUUACGAAGUGACCUGGCUCAUAACAAUUGAAACACACCCGCUGCUCCCUUCCAUUACUGUUAUUCUCCUGAGACUGAUCCUGCUGAACUGGUACCGGCUGAUUAGCUUGCUCGAUGUUAACUUCAUUGCUUUCAUUAGUCUCUGAUUUGAUCUCACCAGCGAUGUUCAACUGUUGCGACUGUCCUUGACCAGCGGAAAAAGAUUCACCAAUUUGGAGUGGCUUGAUACGCUGCCUCUGGCUACUAUCAUGUGCCUCCUGGAAAACAAUCCUUCCUCUCUUACGAUUGUCCAUCCUGUUCUUCUUGUCUUCCAGUCGAAUUGCUUUAUCAACCAGCUCCUGAAAAUCCUCAUAGUCAUGAGAGAUCAACAUAACUGUCAGCUCAUCCUUUAAGCCUUCCAAAAACUUCUCCUGCCUUUCCUCGUCAGUACGCACAUCUUCUGGAGCAUAGCGAGCUAGACGAUUGAACUCAUGAAGAUAUUCCGUCACGGUACGAUCCUUUUGCUUAAGUGCCCGGAACUCACGCUUCUUCAAAGCAACAACACCUGCAGGUAUGUGUGUCUUCUUGAAGGCUUCAGUGAACUCCGCCCAAGUGAUUGGUUGUCCUUCUGCUCUGUUCAUCCGGAAAUGAUCCCACCAUUCCGAUGCAGGUCCUUGCAACUGAUGUGAAGUGAAAACAACUUUCUCCUGAUCCGUGCACUGGAGCAGUUCCAACUUCUUCUCAAUAGUGUGCAGCCAAUCACCUGCUUCUACUGGGUUGGUAGUGCUAGAGAAGGUAGGCGGCUUCACACGAAGAAAAUCAGCUAACUUGUUCUGCGGCGGCGGAGGAUUGACAUUGUUGUUCCCUUGCUGGUUCUGCAUUUGUUGCACUAACAUGUUGAUCAAUUGGGUCUGUUGAGCCAGCACUUGAGCAAGGGUUGGGUUCUCUUCAUUGUUAUUGUUUCCACUUCCACUGGCGCGAGUGUUCACCAUCUGUUGCAGAUUAGAAAAGAUAGGAGGAGAGGGGUUACACUAAAGACAAGACCUUAACCAGUUUAACACUGAUCUGAUGUGUGUAGACCAUUAUAUUGUUCAAGUUGAUUAAGCAAGCAACCUAGUAUAGGUACACGCUCAUCACUGGACUACUCCAAUGACGGGAAUGCAACCAUACCUACACACAAAGCAAUCAACAGCGUUCUACCCUACUAACUAUUCUUCAAAGACACUUUGGCGGCAUAGGUUCUAAGGUAGGAUCCAAACUUCAUUCCAUCUUGACAUCUGGGCACUUCGUUUCUUCCUCGAUCCACUUGACUGACCUCCAUAAGUUGACCACAUCAGCAUCUUCUAGUUUCAACAACUAGUUUCAGAACUACUCAAGUUGAACGAGAGAGGAGAGUAGACAAUGAAACAAUUUGCAAAGAAUUCUAGAUAAGGAAGAAAGGAGAAAUUUUCACAAAUCAUGUUUUCGGAAAAUUAGUCCUUAAGGUUUGACCAUUUGGCUUAUCCUACAGUCGAGAUGGCUCUGAUACCAACUUGUCACGCCCGGAAAUUCACUAGCAAUUCCCGAACUUAUUUGUGCAUAAAAUCCUCGUCCAGGAAUCAGCCGAGGUACACAAACUGACAAUUUAAUAUACAAAUCCAUCAUAUUAACUAAACCGAUAAAUACUUACUUAAGAGGCACUUAGUCCUCACCAAGAAGAAAACUGCAGCGGAAAAAUAAAAUCUAGCGAAGCUCCGGCUUCACUCCCACAGGCAGCUCAACUGGGGUAUAAGCCAAACGUCUUCUCCUUCUGGAUCCUUUAUCUUCAACUGAGGUUUGAUGAUUAUUGCAAGAAUGAGCAUAUGACAUACUCAACAAGCCACACAGCAAAUAUGCAAGUGCACAAGGAUUCCAAAGGAUGGCAUAAUAUAGGCUCAUUUGCGAAAGCAGCAUUUAGCAAAGAGUUAAGAAUAGUAAAACAGUAGAUUAAUUAAUCCGAAAUUUUAAACAACACUGAACAGCACACCCAUGCUGUACAGGCCCAACCAUCCUGAACAACCAUACCCGGCUGAACAGAUCUAACUCCAAACCAGGAGCUAAGCAAAUUAUUACCAGUUAAUCAUCAAUAAUCAUUGUGAAAGGUGUGAGACUAAUCACGAAAAACAUUGCUCAACUCGCCCAUAACCGCGGGCACGGCUAUUCGAAUAGUUUUACUCUGGCCAGAGGUGUACCACUGUACCCACAAGACACGAUUCCACACAUGUUGCCAUGCCCCGAAAUACCACCACGGCAUUGCAAAGGGGGAAAUCGUGACAAUACCCUUUGCACAACACAACUCAAAACAGUGCACCGUUCCUGGAUCAUAAUCACCCCCUUAUAAACAAGGCAUGGACUCCCCAGCGACCCCCAUGGACUUCUCGCCACUUCUCAGUCUGGCGCACUAUAAUGAAUCAUGCUAUACAAAGGAUAAAGCCGUUGCCCACGCUGGCUUGUGGUUGGCACGAUAAAUGUUUCACAACAGUAGCUCGCGAACCGGUCCUUAAUUGCCAUGAGCACGACCUUCAAAACCAUGUGC
Molecule: long non-coding RNA, 5568 nt
Filed under: Oryza sativa (Asian cultivated rice)
Lineage: Eukaryota; Viridiplantae; Streptophyta; Magnoliopsida; Poales; Poaceae
Description: long non-coding RNA (OSAT_LNC000555)
Source: RNAcentral